AUGAACGCUAGCGGCAGGCUUAACACAUGCAAGUCGAGGGGUAGUUGUCUUCGGAUAAUGAGACCGGCGCACGGGUGCGUAACGCGUAUACAAUCUACCUUUUACAGAGGGAUAGCCCAGAGAAAUUUGGAUUAAUACCUCAUAGUAUUUUUGAAUGGCAUCAUUUGAUUAUUAAAGUUCCAACGGUAAAAGAUGAGUAUGCGUCCCAUUAGCUAGAUGGUAAGGUAACGGCUUACCAUGGCAACGAUGGGUAGGGGUCCUGAGAGGGAGAUCCCCCACACUGGUACUGAGACACGGACCAGACUCCUACGGGAGGCAGCAGUGAGGAAUAUUGGACAAUGGGCGCAAGCCUGAUCCAGCCAUGCCGCGUGCAGGAAGAAGGUCCUAUGGAUUGUAAACUGCUUUUAUACAGGAAGAAACACACCCUCGUGAGGGUACUUGACGGUACUGUAUGAAUAAGGACCGGCUAACUCCGU
This 476-nucleotide ribosomal RNA is filed under the name uncultured bacterium. RNAcentral describes it as "bacterial SSU rRNA". It matches the Rfam family "Bacterial small subunit ribosomal RNA", at positions 29 to 506 of the family's 1533-position model. The record is from RNAcentral.